RNAcentral lists this ribosomal RNA (253 nucleotides) under uncultured bacterium. Its description in RNAcentral is "partial 16S ribosomal RNA". It matches the Rfam family "Bacterial small subunit ribosomal RNA", at positions 524 to 776 of the family's 1533-position model. The record is from RNAcentral.
UACAGAGGUCUCAACCGUUGUUCGGAUUCAUUGGGCGUAAAGGGUGCGUAGGCGGUCGUGCAAGUCGGAUGUGAAAUCUCAGGGCUCAACCCUGAAACUGCAUUCGAUACUGCGCGGCUAGAGUGCUGGAGGGGAGACUGGAAUUUACGGUGUAGCAGUGAAAUGCGUAGAUAUCGUAAGGAAGACCAGUGGCGAAGGCGAGUCUCUGGACAGCAACUGACGCUGAGGCACGAAGGCCAGGGAAGCAAACGGG